This 731-nucleotide ribosomal RNA is filed under the name uncultured Lactobacillus sp. Its description in RNAcentral is "bacterial SSU rRNA". It matches the Rfam family "Bacterial small subunit ribosomal RNA", at positions 771 to 1501 of the family's 1533-position model. The record is from RNAcentral. Lineage: Bacteria; Bacillati; Bacillota; Bacilli; Lactobacillales; Lactobacillaceae.
AACCGGAUUAGAUACCCUGGUAGUCCAUGCCGUAAACGAUGAGUGCUAAGUGUUGGAGGGUUUCCGCCCUUCAGUGCUGCAGCUAACGCAUUAAGCACUCCGCCUGGGGAGUACGACCGCAAGGUUGAAACUCAAAGGAAUUGACGGGGGCCCGCACAAGCGGUGGAGCAUGUGGUUUAAUUCGAUGCUACGCGAAGAACCUUACCAGGUCUUGACAUCUUCUGCCAACCUAAGAGAUUGGGCGUUCCCUUCGGGGACAGAAUGACAGGUGGUGCAUGGUUGUCGUCAGCUCGUGUCGUGAGAUGUUGGGUUAAGUCCCGCAACGAGCGCAACCCUUAUUGUUAGUUGCCAGCAUUUAGUUGGGCACUCUAGCAAGACUGCCGGUGACAAACCGGAGGAAGGUGGGGAUGACGUCAAAUCAUCAUGCCCCUUAUGACCUGGGCUACACACGUGCUACAAUGGACGGUACAACGAGUCGCGAAACCGCGAGGUCAAGCUAAUCUCUUAAAGCCGUUCUCAGUUCGGAUUGUAGGCUGCAACUCGCCUACAUGAAGUUGGAAUCGCUAGUAAUCGUGGAUCAGCAUGCCACGGUGAAUACGUUCCCGGGCCUUGUACACACCGCCCGUCACACCAUGAGAGUUUGUAACACCCAAAGCCGGUGAGGUAACCUUCGGGAACCAACCGUCUAAGGUGGGGACAGAUGAUUAGGGUGAAGUCGUAACAAGGUAACC